This 970-nucleotide ribosomal RNA is filed under the name Amphibalanus zhujiangensis. RNAcentral describes it as "SSU rRNA". It matches the Rfam family "Eukaryotic small subunit ribosomal RNA", at positions 455 to 1382 of the family's 1831-position model. The record is from RNAcentral. Lineage: Eukaryota; Metazoa; Arthropoda; Thecostraca; Balanomorpha; Balanidae.
UUCAGGGAGGUAGUGACAAUAAAUACCUUACAGAGGUCUCGUUAACCGAGAUCUCUCAAACGGAAUGAGUACAACGUGAAUCCUUUAACGAGGAUCGACUGGAGGGCAAGCCUGGUGCCAGCAGCCGCGGUAAUUCCAGCUCCAGUAGCGUAUAUUAAAGCUGUUGCGGUUAAAAAGCUCGUAGUUGGAUAUCAGUGCGUGUCCGGUCCGGUAUGCCCGGCGGUGGCGUUCGCGCGUCGCUGCUGGGCUCCCAAAUAUCGGCUGGCCGCAUUCAAUCGUGCCGGAUCCGUCGGCGGGCCGUUCUUCGUAGGGGCCUGUUGGCGGCCGGCGAGGUUACCUUGAACAAAUUAGAGUGCUCAAAGCAGGCUCUGAAUGCCUGUAUACAUAUUCAUGGAAUUGGAGAAUACGUCCCUGGCUCGAUUUGGUUGGUUUUGCGAGUCGAAGGGAAAUGAUUAAUAGGGACUGACGGAGGCAUUCGUAUUGCGACGCGAGGGGUGAAAUCCUGUGACCGUCGCACGACGAACUACUGCGAAAGCAUUUGCCGAGAAUGUUUUCAUUAGUCAAGAACGAAAGUUAGAGGUUCGAAGGCGAUCAGAUACCGCCCUAGUUCUAACCGUAAACGAUGUCGACCAGCAAUCCGCAACGGUCACUACACGGACUGUGCGGGCAGCUUCCCCGGGGAAACCAGAGUUUUUGGACUCCGGGGGAAGUAUGGUUGCAAAGCUGAAACUUAAAGGAAUUGACGGAAGGGCACCACCAGGAGUGGAGCUUGCGGCUUAAUUUGACUCAACACGGGACAACUCACCAGGCCCGGACACCGUAAGGAUUGACAGACUGAUAGCUCUCUCUUGAUUCAGUGGGUGGUGGUGCAUGGCCGUUCUUAGUUGGUGGAGUGAUUUGUCUGGUUUAUUCCGAUAACGAACGAGACUCUGGCCUAUUAAACUUGACACUGUCCGUCACUGUGACGGCG